This 112-nucleotide ribosomal RNA is filed under the name Amanita phalloides. RNAcentral's name for it is "partial 5.8S ribosomal RNA". It matches the Rfam family "5.8S ribosomal RNA", at positions 1 to 110 of the family's 154-position model. From Rfam's summary of the family: 5.8S ribosomal RNA (5.8S rRNA) is a component of the large subunit of the eukaryotic ribosome. Lineage: Eukaryota; Fungi; Basidiomycota; Agaricomycetes; Agaricales; Amanitaceae. The record is from RNAcentral.
UACAACUUUCAACAACGGAUCUCUUGGCUCUCGCAUCGAUGAAGAACGCAGCGAAAUGCGAUAAGUAAUGUGAAUUGCAGAAUUCAGUGAAUCAUCGAAUCUUGAACGCUAU